Molecule: ribosomal RNA, 524 nt
Filed under: uncultured bacterium
Lineage: Bacteria
Description: bacterial SSU rRNA
Rfam family: Bacterial small subunit ribosomal RNA
Source: RNAcentral
UGGACAAUGGGGGGAACCCUGAUCCAGCCAUGCCGCGUGUGUGAAGAAGGCCUUUUGGUUGUAAAGCACUUUAAGCGAGGAGGAGGCUACUCUAGUUAAUACCUAGAGAUAGUGGACGUUACUCGCAGAAUAAGCACCGGCUAACUCUGUGCCAGCAGCCGCGGUAAUACAGAGGGUGCGAGCGUUAAUCGGAUUUACUGGGCGUAAAGCGUGCGUAGGCGGCUUUUUAAGUCGGAUGUGAAAUCCCUGAGCUUAACUUAGGAAUUGCAUUCGAUACUGGGAAGCUAGAGUAUGGGAGAGGAUGGUAGAAUUCCAGGUGUAGCGGUGAAAUGCGUAGAGAUCUGGAGGAAUACCGAUGGCGAAGGCAGCCAUCUGGCCUAAUACUGACGCUGAGGUACGAAAGCAUGGGGAGCAAACAGGAUUAGAUACCCUGGUAGUCCAUGCCGUAAACGAUGUCUACUAGCCGUUGGGGCCUUUGAGGCUUUAGUGGCGCAGCUAACGCGAUAAGUAGACCGCCUGGGGAG